Myodes glareolus (Bank vole) is the source of this 444-nucleotide non-coding RNA. The record is from RefSeq and is a predicted model, not a curated record. NCBI's taxonomy places the organism in Eukaryota, Metazoa, Chordata, Mammalia, Rodentia, Cricetidae.
GACAGUGCUCGAGCCACCAACAGCACCAGUGUUCCAGUAGCCUUGGAAGUUAAGACUGCUUACUCCACCUCAGGUUUCCCAGGGGAAACUAGAAAGCCAUCUCCGACCCUGAAAACAAAGCAAAAUUUAAGAGGAAAAAAAAGGAAGAAGGGGGAUAUCUCAUCAUGGGAGCGGCAGGGUGACACGAGAAGCCUUCUUGAUGCUGUUUCCACACAAAUGAACUACUUGUAGGAUCUAGACAUCUAUCAAGAGCAGGCAAGGAUUUGAGGACCUACACGCAUUCUGUCUCCGUGCCAUGUGAUUUCGGAAGUAGUUUUCACCCUGAACAUUUUUCUCAAGCUGCCUGUGAAGCUAAUCUAAGUAACAGUCGGUGUAGACGUCCUAGAAAAGCCAAGCCUAUGUUCUAUACACUACUUUCUUUUAUAAAAGAUUUGUUUUCUUCUA